AGUGUGACCCAGCCAUGCCGCGUGCAGGAUGACGGCCCUAUGGGUUGUAAACUGCUUUUCCACGGGAAGAACCCUCCGACGUGUCGGAGACUGACGGUACCGUGGGAAUAAGCAUCGGCUAACUCCGUGCCAGCAGCCGCGGUAACACGGAGGAUGCAAGCGUUAUCCGGAUUUAUUGGGUUUAAAGGGUGCGCAGGCGGAUUAUAAAUUAGCGGGAAUCCCCCGGUCAACCAGGGAAUGGCCGUAGAUACUGUUAAUCUGGAGUGCAGUUGAGGUAGGCGGAAUUCGCAUGUAGCGGUGAAAUGCAUAGAUAU
This 314-nucleotide ribosomal RNA is filed under the name uncultured bacterium. Its description in RNAcentral is "bacterial SSU rRNA". It matches the Rfam family "Bacterial small subunit ribosomal RNA", at positions 380 to 697 of the family's 1533-position model. The record is from RNAcentral.